RNAcentral lists this small RNA (68 nucleotides) under Epilithonimonas zeae. RNAcentral's name for it is "Chryseobacterium zeae Flavo-1 RNA". It matches the Rfam family "Flavo-1 RNA". The record is from RNAcentral. Lineage: Bacteria; Pseudomonadati; Bacteroidota; Flavobacteriia; Flavobacteriales; Weeksellaceae.
ACAUAGCCCCGAUUGUAGCGACAUCCUUUUUUCUUUGAAAAAAGAUAUAGCGAAAAGCGGGUUGGAAA